RNAcentral lists this ribosomal RNA (405 nucleotides) under uncultured bacterium. RNAcentral's name for it is "bacterial SSU rRNA". It matches the Rfam family "Bacterial small subunit ribosomal RNA", at positions 355 to 775 of the family's 1533-position model. The record is from RNAcentral.
UGGGGAAUAUUGCACAAUGGGGGAAACCCUGAUGCAGCGACGCCGCGUGAGCGAAGAAGUAUUUCGGUAUGUAAAGCUCUAUCAGCAGGGAAGAAGAAAUGACGGUACCUGACUAAGAAGCACCGGCUAAAUACGUGCCAGCAGCCGCGGUAAUACGUAUGGUGCAAGCGUUAUCCGGAUUUACUGGGUGUAAAGGGAGCGCAGGCGGUACGGCAAGUCUGAUGUGAAAGCCCGGGGCUCAACCCCGGUACUGCAUUGGAAGCUGUCGGACUAGAGUGUCGGAGGGGUAAGUGGAAUUCCUAGUGUAGCGGUGAAAUGCGUAGAUAUUAGGAGGAACACCAGUGGCGAAGGCGGCUUACUGGACGAUGACUGACGCUGAGGCUCGAAAGCGUGGGGAGCAAACAG